GACGAACGCUGGCGGCGUGCUUAACACAUGCAAGUCGAGCGGUAAGGCCUCUUCGGGGGUACACGAGCGGCGAACGGGUGAGUAACACGUGGGUGACCUACCCUCAGCUCUGGGAUAAGCCUGGGAAACUGGGUCUAAUACCGGAUAUGACUACAUGUCGCAUGGUGUGUGGUGGAAAGUUUGUCCUUUAUUGGGCACUUCGGUUGGGGAUGGGCCCGCGGCCUAUCAGCUUGUUGGUGGGGGAUGGCCUACCAAGGCGACGACGGGUAGCCGGCCUGAGAGGCGACCGGCCUUACACUGGGACUGAGAUACGGCCCA
This 318-nucleotide ribosomal RNA is filed under the name uncultured bacterium. Its description in RNAcentral is "bacterial SSU rRNA". It matches the Rfam family "Bacterial small subunit ribosomal RNA", at positions 28 to 333 of the family's 1533-position model. The record is from RNAcentral.